CAACAUCAAGAGCGUGAUGGUUCCUCGAAACCGAUAGGUGAGAGGAUCAAAAGGGAACACGGUGAGGCGUACCCAUCAGGGGCCGAAUCCGUGGCUGCCCCCGCAACUGUGAGCGAUGCGUUCAUGUUGGUGCCACUGGCCGCAAGGCUGGGAAGGCGCAUGGAUCCCGAGGGUGUCGUCCCUCGGACAUCGCGAGCCAGGAGACCUGCCAGCACGUGAGCCGGGCG
Molecule: non-coding RNA, 227 nt
Filed under: Devosia geojensis
Lineage: Bacteria; Pseudomonadati; Pseudomonadota; Alphaproteobacteria; Hyphomicrobiales; Devosiaceae
Source: RNAcentral